UCCUCGGAUAGGAUAAUCCUUCCCUGUUCCUAUAUUCAGGGAGCAGAUAGAACAUGAUGGUUGGAGUUAGCAUGAUUCGUGAUUUAAUGUCUCUGCAUGGCUAGUGUUCACAAUACCCUAAUAGCUCCUACCUGGU
This 136-nucleotide small nucleolar RNA is filed under the name Sorex araneus (European shrew). RNAcentral describes it as "U8 small nucleolar RNA (ENSSARG00000016428.1)". It matches the Rfam family "U8 small nucleolar RNA". From Rfam's summary of the family: U8 is a member of the C/D class of snoRNA which contain the C (UGAUGA) and D (CUGA) box motifs. Lineage: Eukaryota; Metazoa; Chordata; Mammalia; Eulipotyphla; Soricidae. The record is from RNAcentral.